UUUAGUUGACCAAGUUGAAUAAUGAGAAAGUUUGUUACAUCGUCUCUUUCAUGUCUCUCUUUCUCUCUCAAACUAAGAAAUGGCUACGGCCAUGAAAUCCACCGGCAAGCCUCCCGUCGUUGUGUCUUUAGCGACGUCUCAGAAGAACCAGUCGAAAUUGAUCUCUGUGAUUUUGGUAAAUCUAUUUCUGGGAGGCAAGAAACAUCGCAAAAGGCAUCUCCUCUGCUCGUGAGGGGACUGUGAUGCAAGGUUCAUCUCCUCUGCUUGUGCUCCACGGUACUCGCCUCAUCCCAAAGCAGAAACAACUUACAGCCUUCUAAAUUUUCAGGCUACCAGAAGUAAGGAGAUUUAACAAGUUGCUGUUCAGAGUUUAAAUGGAGCCGGUGCAAGAGGCUUUAGGCUUUACCGAUAUUCCACCUUUUCAUCAGAAAUCAGGGAAUCCCUAAUCUUACAAUGAAGAAACACAAAAGUUUGACCAACUGCUCUCUUUUAUGUUGUUAUGCUCACAAACAAUGAUUUCUCAGCCCUUUGUCUCACUCCACAGUAAUUUUGUUACUCUUUAAUCUGACACAACAUGCUUAUUCGAUGAUUAUUUGGUGGGUUUACUGGCUUUUCUCUUGCGAUUGGAAAUCAUGAAUGUAGAAUGAAAUAGACUGUGUAGGGUUUGCUAAGGAUGAAUUUAGAUUGCCGUUUAUGUUGAUUCUGAAAACUUUUUAAAUGCACACAAUAUGUUCAAUUAAAUGCCAAAAAACGAGAUACAUAUUGCGAUAGAGUAUUUUUAGAAACAUGUAGAUGGUUUCUUCUACCCAUACAUUGCUUGCUAGCUACUUCUUUUGUUCCUACAAUGUUUCAGAACAUUACAUAUUUCUGUUUUCUUUUUUUUUUUCAAACAGAACGCUGUGGUUGAAUGGAAAUCAAAGGUAUCCGCAAUGCACUUCUCUUCUUGCAUCUGGCCACAACUGGACCAUAAAAUCUGAACUUAAGUUGGAUGGCAUGUGUUUCUUGAUCUAAGACUCGAGCCAUGGCUCCGGAACUUCUAACACAAUGCUUAGCUAUACUCAUUUGCCUAAAGGUUGCUCUCAUUGGUGACUGAACUGGAUCUGGAAAGUUAUUCAUCAAUUUCCUCGAUGCUAACUGUGGAGAUACUGAAAAUGUAGAUUAAUUUGCGCAGGUGUUGAAAACAAAAAAGAAACCCACCAACCAAUUUCACAUACUCAAUGAUUAUUGGAAGACUUUGCAUUGCCCAGAAAAUCGAAGUGGGACAUGGCUUCUGAAGGAGUGGGAUGUCAGUUUAUCAAAAUUUACUUCCACCCACACUGAUCAAGGAACGUUGUGUCCUAUUUAAGUCAUCUUCCGCUCUUCGAACCAAGCUUGAAGCAGUGAAAGUGAGAUUAGUAUUUCUAUCAUGGGAUCAUGAGAGUCAUGUUAUGGCAACAAUGACUCUCAUGGGAUCAUGUUUAGGAAAAUUAGUGAUGCACAAGGCGUUAUCUUUAGCUCUAAUGUGGUUGGGAACUAUCAAUCUUAUGUCGAAGACCCAAUCAAGGAACCACACAGCCCAACAACGGAGUUGUAAGUGAACAACCAGUGGCUAAACGGAGCUUGGAAUAUAUUCCAGAGAACAAAGGAGAUACCAAAACGUCAAAGAAGAAAGCUUCCUCUACAGGCUUCCCUUCAAACGUCAGAAGCUUAAUAUCAACUGGUCAUGUUCAAAUCGAUUCAAAAGUUUGAGGGCUCUCUCUUCCUUGGAUGUAUUAGACUGAAAAUUUUACCAUCCACAGAAGCUCGAUCAUGUCAGAGCAGGCUGAGAUAUUCAAGCUCAAAGAUAGCUUAGUUCGUUUGGUUUCAGCAAGAGAGACCUCUAGCUCUGCAUAUUUGCACCAAGCAUAGAAAUUUUCAUGAUACCGCUCAAGAUCCUGCUCUAACGCUUUACACCUAUAUACUGUAUACAUUAGGGUAUGAUCUCAAUGUAUUUUUGAAUAUUUGUUUGCAGAAGAGGAAAAAAAAUUACUAACGAUAAGUAUAUCAUGUAUGUAAUUUUAUCUGCAAUGAAACUGAAUGGCCAUCGCUAGCAGCUGAACUGGA
This is a long non-coding RNA of Raphanus sativus (radish), 2082 nucleotides long. RefSeq lists it as uncharacterized. Lineage: Eukaryota; Viridiplantae; Streptophyta; Magnoliopsida; Brassicales; Brassicaceae. The record is from RefSeq and is a predicted model, not a curated record. The transcript has 3 exons.